GACGAACGAGGGAGGCGUGCUUAACACAUGCAAGUCGAACGCUGAAGCUUGGUGCUUGCACUGGGUGGAUGAGUGGCGAACGGGUGAGUAAUACGUGAGUAACCUGCCCUUGACUCUGGGAUAAGCCUGGGAAACUGGGUCUAAUACUGGAUAUGACAUGCCACUGCAUGGUGGUGUGUGGAAAGGGUUUUACUGGUUUUGGAUGGGCUCACGGCCUAUCAGCUUGUUGGUGGGGUAAUGGCCUACCAAGGCGACGACGGGUAGCCGGCCUGAGAGGGUGACCGGCCACACUGGGACUGAGACACGGCCCAGACUCCUACGGGAGGCAGCAGUGGGGAAUAUUGCACAAUGGGCGGAAGCCUGAUGCAGCGACGCCGCGUGAGGGAUGACGGCCUUCGGGUUGUAAACCUCUUUCAGCACGGAAGAAGCGAGAGUGACGGUACGUGCAGAAGAAGCGCCGGCUAACUACGUG
Molecule: ribosomal RNA, 472 nt
Filed under: uncultured bacterium
Lineage: Bacteria
Description: partial 16S ribosomal RNA
Rfam family: Bacterial small subunit ribosomal RNA
Source: RNAcentral